AUGAAUAUUUUAAGUUGGAACUGCCGGGGGGCGGGGAACCCCCGGACAGUUCGUGAUCUCAUGAGUCUAGUCCAGGCUCAUUCCCCUAGUAUCGUUUUUCUUUAUGAAACUAGGCAGCCAAAAAAUAAAAUGAAGAGGUACCGUGCUAGGUUAGGCUUAAGUGGUUUUGAUGCUUGUGAUAGCGUUGGUCGUAGUGGUGGUCUUGCUUUGUACUGGCAUGAGUCGUUGAUCGUUGAUGUAAAAGAUAUUAAUGAAAGAUAUAUUGAUGCAUAUGUGACUGCGUCGGCGGGUGAGCCACCCUGGAGGCUGACCUGCGUCUACGGUGAGCCACGGACGGAGGACCGUCAUCACAUGUGGUCCCUCCUCCGUGAUCUUCACCAGCAAGCUGACAUGCCUUGGGUUGUGGCUGGUGACUUUAACGAGGCCAUGUGGAGCUUCGAGCAUUUCUCCGAAACGCCACGCUCGGCAGGUCAGAUGAUUGAUUUUCAUGAUGUUCUUGAGGUUUGUGGUUUGGGUGAUCUCGGUUUUGCAGGCCUGCCUUACACUUAUGAUAACCGUCGUGCGGGUCGGGCAAAUGUUAAAGCUCGACUUGAUCGUGCCGUGGCUAACAACACUUGGCGUGACAUGUUCUCUGAGGCCAAGGUGCAGCACCUUGUGGCGCCGAGUUCAGACCACUUUGCCAUCCUGCUACGAUGCGUUCUGGAGGAGCUGGUGCAGCAGUCUGGCAGGCGCUGCCGGCAAUACGAGGUGAUGUGGGAGAGGGAUCCGUCCCUCCCUGAGGUAAUUAUGAAUACUUGGACAGAUUUGGGUUCAUUGCUUAACCUGGGUGAUAUUGCGGUCGGCCUGGGUACUAUGAUGAAAAAAUUGCAGGACUGGAGCCGUAAAAAGUUUGGUAAUGUUAUUAAAGAAAUUAACAAAUCUCGUACCCGCCUGGAAGAGCUUAUGUCUAUGAAUGCAGACAGGAAGGAGAUUCGGGAGGCCACUGACAGGAUGAACGAGCUUCUGUAUAGGGAAGAGAUGCUUUGGAUGCAGAGAUCCCGGGUUGCCUGGCUCAAGGAGGGCGACAGAAACACACGGUUCUUCCAUCAGAAAGCGGUGUGGCAGGCUCGAAAAAACCGCAUUAAGUCGCUUGUGGACGAGGCAGGAGUGGUCCAGACGGACCACAAUAUUAUGGCGCCCAUGGCAACAUCAUACUUCACUAAGCUUUUUACAGCCGACACUACACUCCGUGCGGACCCGGUAAUUGAUUUGAUUAAUACUCGUGUGACUGACAACAUGAAUAAUGGUCUGUGUGCAGACUUCACGGAUAAGGAGAUAUCAGAUGCUCUUUUUCAGAUUGGACCUCUCAAAGCGCCGGGGCCGGAUGGAUUUCCCGCGCAGUUUUUCCAGAGGAACUGGGAUGUCAUGCGAGAGCGGUUAUUGCAGGGGUGA
This 1431-nucleotide ribosomal RNA is filed under the name Triticum aestivum (bread wheat). RNAcentral describes it as "partial small subunit ribosomal RNA". The record is from RNAcentral. Lineage: Eukaryota; Viridiplantae; Streptophyta; Magnoliopsida; Poales; Poaceae.